RNAcentral lists this ribosomal RNA (464 nucleotides) under uncultured bacterium. RNAcentral describes it as "partial 16S ribosomal RNA". It matches the Rfam family "Bacterial small subunit ribosomal RNA", at positions 28 to 507 of the family's 1533-position model. The record is from RNAcentral.
GACGAACGCUGGCGGCGUGCUUAACACAUGCAAGUCGAACGGAAAGGCCCAGCUUGCUGGGUGCUCGAGUGGCGAACGGGUGAGUAACACGUGGGUGAACUGCCCCUCACUUCGGGAUAAGCUUGGUAAACUGGGCCUAAUACCGGAUAGGACACUCGUUUAGUGUCGGUUGUGGACAGUGUUUUCGGUUAGGGAUGAGCCCGCGGCCUAUCAGCUUGUUGGUGGGGUAAUGGCCUACCAAGGCGUCGACGGGUAGCCGGCCUGAGAGGGUGGACGGCCACAUUGGGACUGAGAUACGGCCCAGACUCCUACGGGAGGCAGCAGUGGGGAAUAUUGCACAAUGGGCGCAAGCCUGAUGCAGCGACGCCGCGUGGGGGAUGACGGCCUUCGGGUUGUAAACCUCUUUCGACAGGGACGAAGCUUUGGUGACGGUACCUGUAUAAGAAGCACCGGCUAACUACGUG